UACGAAGGGGGGCUAGCGUUGCUCGGAAUUACUGGGCGUAAAGCGCACGUAGGCGGCUUUCUAAGUCGGGGGGUGAAAUCCUGGAGCUCAACUCCAGAACUGCCUUCGAUACUGGAGAGCUCGAGUUCGGGAGAGGUGAGUGGAACUGCGAGUGUAGAGGUGAAAUUCGUAGAUAUCAGGAGGAACACCGGUGGCGAAGGCGGGUCUCUGGGCCGAUACUGACACUGAGGAGCGAAAGCGUGGGGAGCGAACAGG
This 255-nucleotide ribosomal RNA is filed under the name uncultured bacterium. RNAcentral describes it as "partial 16S ribosomal RNA". It matches the Rfam family "Bacterial small subunit ribosomal RNA", at positions 524 to 776 of the family's 1533-position model. The record is from RNAcentral.